Molecule: long non-coding RNA, 125 nt
Organism: Sander lucioperca (pikeperch)
Lineage: Eukaryota; Metazoa; Chordata; Actinopteri; Perciformes; Percidae
Exons: 3
Source: RefSeq, a predicted model, not a curated record
GUAGGUAGGAUUGUGAAGAUCCAGGACUUAGCCAAAGAAUUUGAACAUCGACAACUUCUCCUAAGCCCCGCCCUCCACAAGGGAGAUUGAAGGCGUGUGCAUGAGCAGAGGUGGUGCAUGACACC